This 1360-nucleotide ribosomal RNA is filed under the name uncultured bacterium. RNAcentral describes it as "bacterial SSU rRNA". It matches the Rfam family "Bacterial small subunit ribosomal RNA", at positions 28 to 1394 of the family's 1533-position model. The record is from RNAcentral.
GAUGAACGCUGGCGGCGUGCUUAACACAUGCAAGUCGAACGAUGAAGCCCAGCUUGCUGGGUGGAUUAGUGGCGAACGGGUGAGUAACACGUGAGUAACCUGCCCCUGACUCUGGGAUAAGCCCGGGAAACUGGGUCUAAUACUGGAUAUGACCUGUCACCGCAUGGUGGUGGGUGGAAAGAUUUUUUGGUUGGGGAUGGACUCGCGGCCUAUCAGCUUGUUGGUGAGGUAGUGGCUCACCAAGGCGACGACGGGUAGCCGGCCUGAGAGGGUGACCGGCCACACUGGGACUGAGACACGGCCCAGACUCCUACGGGAGGCAGCAGUGGGGAAUAUUGCACAAUGGGCGCAAGCCUGAUGCAGCGACGCCGCGUGAGGGAUGACGGCCUUCGGGUUGUAAACCUCUUUCAGUAGGGAAGAAGCUUUCGGGUGACGGUACCUGCAGAAGAAGCGCCGGCUAACUACGUGCCAGCAGCCGCGGUAAUACGUAGGGCGCAAGCGUUAUCCGGAUUUAUUGGGCGUAAAGAGCUCGUAGGCGGUUUGUCGCGUCUGCCGUGAAAGUCCGGGGCUUAACUCCGGAUCUGCGGUGGGUACGGGCAGACUAGAGUGCAGUAGGGGAGACUGGAAUUCCUGGUGUAGCCGGUGAAAUGCGCAGAUAUCAGGAGGAACACCGAUGGCGAAAGCAGGUCUCUAGGCCUGUAACUGACGCUGAGGAGCGAAAGCAUGGGGAGCGAACAGGAUUAGAUACCCUGGUAGUCCAUGCCGUAAACGUUGGGCACUAGGUGUGGGGGACAUUCCACGUUUUCCGCGCCGUAGCUAACGCAUUAAGUGCCCCCGCCUGGGGAGUACGGCCGCAAGGCUAAAACUCAAAGGAAUUGACGGGGGCCCGCACAAGCGGCGGAGCCUGCGGAUUAAUUCGAUGCAACGCGAAGAACCUUACCAAGGCUUGACAUGGACUGGAUCGCCGCAGAGAUGUGGUUUCCCUUCGGGGCUGGUUCACAGGUGGUGCAUGGUUGUCGUCAGCUCGUGUCGUGAGAUGUUGGGUUAAGUCCCGCAACGAGCGCAACCCUCGUUCCAUGUUGCCAGCGGGUUAUGCCGGGGACUCAUGGGAGACUGCCGGGGUCAACUCGGAGGAAGGUGAGGACGACGUCAAAUCAUCAUGCCCCUUAUGUCUUGGGCUUCACGCAUGCUACAAUGGCCGGUACAAAGGGUUGCGAUACUGUGAGGUGGAGCUAAUCCCAAAAAGCCGGUCUCAGUUCGGAUUGGGGUCUGCAACUCGACCCCAUGAAGUCGGAGUCGCUAGUAAUCGCAGAUCAGCAACGCUGCGGUGAAUACGUUCCCGGGCCUUGUACACACCGCC